This 434-nucleotide ribosomal RNA is filed under the name uncultured bacterium. RNAcentral describes it as "partial 16S ribosomal RNA". It matches the Rfam family "Bacterial small subunit ribosomal RNA", at positions 29 to 506 of the family's 1533-position model. The record is from RNAcentral.
AACGAACGCUGGCGGCAUGCCUAACACAUGCGAGUCGAACGAUUGCCUUCGGGUGAUAGUGGCGCACGGGUGCGUAACGCGUGGGAAUCUGCCCUUAGGUUCGGAAUAACAGCUGGAAACGGCUGCUAAUACCGGAUGAUAUCGCGAGAUCAAAGAUUUAUCGCCUGAGGAUGAGCCCGCGUUGGAUUAGGUAGUUGGUGGGGUAAAGGCCUACCAAGCCGACGAUCCAUAGCUGGUCUGAGAGGAUGAUCAGCCACACUGGGACUGAGACACGGCCCAGACUCCUACGGGAGGCAGCAGUGGGGAAUAUUGGACAAUGGGCGCAAGCCUGAUCCAGCAAUGCCGCGUGAGUGAUGAAGGCCCUAGGGUUGUAAAGCUCUUUUACCCGGGAAGAUAAUGACUGUACCGGGAGAAUAAGCCCCGGCUAACUCCGU